UACGAAGGGUGCAAGCGUUACUCGGAAUUACUGGGCGUAAAGCGUGCGUAGGUGGUUUGUUAAGUCUGAUGUGAAAGCCCUGGGCUCAACCUGGGAAUUGCAUUGGAUACUGGCAGGCUAGAGUGCGGUAGAGGGUAGUGGAAUUCCCGGUGUAGCAGUGAAAUGCGUAGAGAUCGGGAGGAACACCAGUGGCGAAGGCGACUACCUGGACCAUUACUGACGCUGAGGCGCGAAAGCGUGGGGAGCAAACAGG
RNAcentral lists this ribosomal RNA (253 nucleotides) under uncultured bacterium. Its description in RNAcentral is "partial 16S ribosomal RNA". It matches the Rfam family "Bacterial small subunit ribosomal RNA", at positions 524 to 776 of the family's 1533-position model. The record is from RNAcentral.